RNAcentral lists this long non-coding RNA (820 nucleotides) under Olea europaea subsp. europaea. Lineage: Eukaryota; Viridiplantae; Streptophyta; Magnoliopsida; Lamiales; Oleaceae. The record is from RNAcentral.
UUCACUCUCCCGAAUAAAAAAUCCCCAAUUUCACUCUCCCAAGCCCAAACCCACAGAAUCGAAAACCCUCCCCACGCCUCACCAUCUCCGACAUCACCCCAGACGACGGCACCGUCGACGAUCCGACAGGGCGUGUCGAAGGUUUGGCUGCCUCCCGCUUCACGUUUUUUUACCGCACUUCGAACGAAGAUUGUCGCCACUUCGGGAGCACAUCCAUCCAACUUUCUCCUGUUGAUAUAUUGGAAACGAGAUAACUAUAUGCACUGGGGUUUAAGGUUUUGCUAUGUGUUGUCUUUUAAUCUCAAUACUAACGAAGGGUUGAACAAUUUUUGAUAUGGUUUACUGUAUAUUCAGAGAAGUUUCUGCUAUGGUUAACUUCAACAAUAGAUUAUAUCAAUAUUAUUAUAUUUGAUUAUGUCAGAUGCUUGGGCUCUAAUAAGUUAAAAGUCUCCCAAUUUAUGUGUAUAAAUACAAGGUUCAAUAAUCGUCUCCCUGGAACGAGCUAUUUCAGUUAUAAAAUUACAUUUCAAAUUCAAUGAGAUAACUGUAUGCCCCGGGAUUUAAGGUUUGCUAUGUUUUGUGUUUUAAUCUCAAUACUACCGAAGGGUUGAUCAAAUUUUGCACUUGUCAGAUGAUAUUUGAACUGUGUUAUUUGUAGGCAGUAGUAUGUUUGUUUAAUUUUUUCGAUCUUGGUCUUUGCUUCCAAAUUAAGCCUAUUCAUCUAUUUUGUUCUUGUCUUGUUUAUGUCAUUCUAAGCAGUUAGCCGGUGAGGGAUUGAAAUUGUGUGGGAUUGUUCUUGUCUUGUGUAUGUCAUUCUAGG